CCUUUGUGAACAUUGGAAAUAUACACUGGAAGUUUCUGGUUAGUAUGAGCAGCAUUUCUGUGAAAACAGUUUGUUUCAAUAACACAUUAUUCAUAAUUUAUGUACUUUUUAAAUUUAUAUAUCUAUCGCAGUACAUAAAUGCAGAUGACAGCUGUCUGUAUUUGGUCGAUCCUUCAAGAAACUCUUUGGAGCAGGAAGAGUCUGACCGUGCAGCCAAAAGAGUCCGUGAAUACUUCAAAAUGAGGAGGACAUGCUACAACAAAACAGACUGGGUGAAUGUGAGACUUCGAGGAGGAGUACUGACACAUCCAUUUCAACGGGAUGGUUCUAGCUGAGGAGUAAUGGUCAUCAUGGUAAAGCAAGCCCAUCACAGAGCCCUGGCAUCCCCGCCCACCGCCUGUUUGACCCGAUGCACCUGAGGUCAGUCAGGUCCACACCUCCAGACUCACUAACAGCUUCCUCCCCUGGGCCAUCAGACUGCUAACAAACCCCACCCCUCUCCACCCAC
Long non-coding RNA from Astatotilapia calliptera (eastern happy), 508 nucleotides. NCBI's taxonomy places the organism in Eukaryota, Metazoa, Chordata, Actinopteri, Cichliformes, Cichlidae. The record is from Ensembl.